UGGGGAAUAUUGCACAAUGGGGGAAACCCUGAUGCAGCGACGCCGCGUGAACGAAGAAGGUAUUCGUAUCGUAAAGUUCUGUCCUAUGGGAAGAUAAUGACAGUACCAUAGAAGAAAGCUCCGGCUAAAUACGUGCCAGCAGCCGCGGUAAUACGUAUGGAGCGAGCGUUGUCCGGAAUUAUUGGGCGUAAAGGGUACGCAGGCGGUUUAAUAAGUCGAAUGUUAAAGAUCGGGGCUCAACCCCGCAAAGCAUUGGAAACUGAUAAACUUGAGUAGUGGAGGGGAAAGUGGAAUUCCUAGUGUAGUGGUGAAAUACGUAGAUAUUAGGAGGAAUACCAGUAGCGAAGGCGACUGUCUGGACACAAACUGACGCUGAGGUACGAAAGCGUGGGGAGCAAACAGG
RNAcentral lists this ribosomal RNA (403 nucleotides) under bacterium. Its description in RNAcentral is "partial 16S ribosomal RNA". It matches the Rfam family "Bacterial small subunit ribosomal RNA", at positions 355 to 776 of the family's 1533-position model. The record is from RNAcentral.